RNAcentral lists this ribosomal RNA (470 nucleotides) under uncultured bacterium. RNAcentral's name for it is "bacterial SSU rRNA". It matches the Rfam family "Bacterial small subunit ribosomal RNA", at positions 30 to 492 of the family's 1533-position model. The record is from RNAcentral.
AUUGAACGCUGGCGGCGUGCUUAACACAUGCAAGUCGAACGGUAACAGGCCCUUCGGGGUGCUGACGAGUGGCGGACGGGUGAGUAAUGCGUAGGAAUCUGCCUUACAGUGGGGGAUAACCUAGGGAACUUAGGCUAAUACCGCAUAAGCUCUACGGAGGAAAGCGGGGGAUCGUAAGACCUCGCGCUGUUAGAUGAGCCUACGUCCGAUUAGCUAGUUGGUAGGGUAAAGGCCACCAAGGCGACGAUCGGUAGCUGGUCUGAGAGGACGAUCAGCCACACUGGGACUGAGACACGGCCCAGACUCCUACGGGAGGGCAGCAGUGGGGAAUAUUGGACAAUGGGCGCAAGCCUGAUCCAGCGACGCCGCGUGGGUGAAGAAGGCCUGCGGGGUUGUAAAGCCCUUUCGGUUGGGAAGAAAAGCCGGAUGCUAAUACCAUUCGGUCUUGACGUUAACUAACAAAAGAAGCA